CCUACGGGAGGCAGCAGUGGGGAAUAUUGGACAAUGGGCGAAAGCCUGAUCCAGCCAUGCCGCGUGUGUGAAGAAGGCCUUCGGGUUGUAAAGCACUUUCAGUGGGGAAGAAAGCCUUGGGGCUAAUACCCUCGAGGAAGGACAUCACCCACAGAAGAAGCACCGGCUAACUCCGUGCCAGCAGCCGCGGUAAUACGGAGGGUGCGAGCGUUAAUCGGAAUUACUGGGCGUAAAGCGCGCGUAGGCGGUCUGAUAAGCCGGUUGUGAAAGCCCCGGGCUCAACCUGGGAACGGCAUCCGGAACUGUCAGGCUAGAGUGCAGGAGAGGAAGGUAGAAUUCCCGGUGUAGCGGUGAAAUGCGUAGAGAUCGGGAGAAAUACCAGUGGCGAAGGCGGCCUUCUGGACUGACACUGACGCUGAGGUGCGAAAGCGUGGGUAGCAAACAGGAUUAGAUACCCUGGUAGUC
Molecule: ribosomal RNA, 465 nt
Filed under: Vreelandella stevensii
Lineage: Bacteria; Pseudomonadati; Pseudomonadota; Gammaproteobacteria; Oceanospirillales; Halomonadaceae
Description: partial 16S ribosomal RNA
Rfam family: Bacterial small subunit ribosomal RNA
Source: RNAcentral